Molecule: ribosomal RNA, 402 nt
Filed under: bacterium
Lineage: Bacteria
Description: partial 16S ribosomal RNA
Rfam family: Bacterial small subunit ribosomal RNA
Source: RNAcentral
UGGGGAAUUUUGCACAAUGGGGGAAACCCUGAUGCAGCGACGCCGCGUGAUUUAGAAGGCCUUCGGGUUGUAAAAAUCUUUUCUAUGGGAAGAAAAUGACAGUACCAUAGGAAUAAGGACCGGCUAAUUACGUGCCAGCAGCCACGGUAAUACGUAAGGUCCGAGCGUUGUCCGGAAUCAUUGGGCGUAAAGGGUACGUAGGCGGGUACGCAAGUUAGAAGUGAAAUCCUAUAGCUCAACUAUAGUAAGCUUUUAAAACUGCUCAUCUUGAGGGAUGGAAGGGAAAGUGGAAUUCCUAGUGUAGCGGUGAAAUGCGCAGAUAUUAGGAGGAAUACCGGUGGCGAAGGCGGCUUUCUGGCCAUAACCUGACGCUGAGGUACGAAAGCGUGGGUAGCAAACAGG